CAGAUUCAAAGUGUUCUACAAGAUAUGAAAAACAAAUUCCAAGCAAUGUCUGACCAAAUCAUAGCAAAAAAUAUCCUUUUUUCACUGUAUCAAUUUUAUUUUAAUUACAUUUUAAUAUUUUAAUAACAGGAUUGCUACCUGGAAAACCCAGAAAUAUCAGAAAAUUUUCAAUUUUUUAUGGAAAUUCAGGGAAUGAGAAAACAUAUUUUAAGUAUCAAAUUAGAGUUGUAGUUAUAUAAUAUAAUUGUAUAUAGUGUUGUAUCAAACUUUAUUUAAAAUUUGCAUAUUAGCUUAUUAGCUUUAGUUUAUCCUUUUCCACAACACACAAGUAUAGUUGGUGUGUCAAUGCCAGUUAAUUAAUAUCUUAUUAGGUACUCUGACUAGAAACUAGAUUGACACACUCAGUUUAUAUUUUUCUAUUACAUUGUAUAGUUAUUUAUAGAAAAUUUUAUUUUAACGUUUUUGAUAUUUUUCUGUGAUAACAUAUUUAACACUAUAUGGAUUAGAAAGUAUUUUGCUGAGAGUUUAUUCUUAGAAGUUCUUAAAUCUGAUAUCUUUUCCAUUCCAUUAGAUGAAUCACUUUACAAAGUAUCUUAAAAAGAGCAAAUGAAUGUAUAAUACAAUAGUGAAAUUUUGGUGCAAGUCUUCUCGUAAAGUGACAUCAUGUUUUUUAGAACACACAACUGCAAUUGAUUUAUUAGAAGCUUUGAAAAUAUUCUAAAGAAUUUUUGCUAUAAUAAAAUUAUAUAAUUAUCAAUGGGUAGGCUUUUUAUUAAUAUUAAAGUUAUAAUGGCUUUAGAAAUGAAAUUAGCUAACUCACUUAAAAUUAAUACGGUUAUAUAUUCCGUCAAAAAACAAAAAAAAAACUGUUUUUAUUUCUUUUAUAAUUAUAGGUGUCUGUAGCAUCUCUAGAAAGUAUCCUAGAAAAUCAGGGAAUUUUGUGAUCUAAGAUUUACAGUAACUCUAAAAAACAAAGUAUGGUCAUAAAUUUGUAUUAUUAAUUUG
This is a non-coding RNA of Cinara cedri, 1005 nucleotides long. NCBI's taxonomy places the organism in Eukaryota, Metazoa, Arthropoda, Insecta, Hemiptera, Aphididae. The record is from the annotation of a GenBank genome assembly.